This 45-nucleotide non-coding RNA is filed under the name Trichobilharzia regenti. The record is from RNAcentral. Lineage: Eukaryota; Metazoa; Platyhelminthes; Trematoda; Strigeidida; Schistosomatidae.
AGUUAGCUGACGAGUCCCAAAUAGGACGAAGUGCGCAUCUUGAUU